CCUACGGGUGGCAGCAGUGGGGGAUAUUGCCCAAUGGGGGCAACCCUGAUCCAGCGACGCCGCGUGGGGGAAGAAGCUUCUCGGCGCGUAAAGCUCUGUCAGCAGGGAAGAAAAUGACGGUACCUUAAUAAGAAUCCCCGGCUAACUACGUGCCAGCAGCCGCGGUAAUACGUAGGGGGCAAGCGUUAUCCGGAUUUACUGGGGGAAACGGGAGCGCAGGCGGCGAUGCAAGCCAGGAGUGAACGCCCGGGGCCCAACCCCGGGACUGCAUUGGAAACUGGCUGGCUGGAGUGGCGGAGGGGCAGGGGGAAGUCCGGGUGUAGCGGUGAAAUGCGUAGAGAUCAGGAGGAACACCAGUGGCGAAGGCGGCCUGCUGGACUGCAACUGACGUUGAGGCCCGAAAGCGUGGGGAGCAAACAGGAUUAGAUACCCCUGUAGUC
This 440-nucleotide ribosomal RNA is filed under the name uncultured bacterium. Its description in RNAcentral is "partial 16S ribosomal RNA". It matches the Rfam family "Bacterial small subunit ribosomal RNA", at positions 338 to 795 of the family's 1533-position model. The record is from RNAcentral.